This is a non-coding RNA of Ceratotherium simum simum (southern white rhinoceros), 114 nucleotides long. The record is from RefSeq and is a predicted model, not a curated record. NCBI's taxonomy places the organism in Eukaryota, Metazoa, Chordata, Mammalia, Perissodactyla, Rhinocerotidae.
GCACAGAUUCUGUUCUCUUGUAAAGGAGUUUCUCAGGCAACAACAGCCAAUUUGGGGAGAAUAUUAUGGACAUUAAAUAAUGCAAAGAAUAUAAUAAAAAUCUUGACUUUUUUA